UACAGAGGUCUCAAGCGUUGUUCGGAUUCAUUGGGCGUAAAGGGUGCGUAGGUGGCGAGGUUAGUCAGGUGUGAAAUCUCGGGGCUCAACCCCGAAACUGCACUUGAUACUGCCUUGCUAGAGUACUGGAGAGGAGAUUGGAAUUUACGGUGUAGCAGUGAAAUGCGUAGAUAUCGGGAAGAACACCCGUGGCGAAGGCGGCUCUCUGGAACGCAACUGACGCUGAGACGCGAAAGCGUGGGGAGCAAACAGG
Molecule: ribosomal RNA, 253 nt
Filed under: uncultured bacterium
Lineage: Bacteria
Description: partial 16S ribosomal RNA
Rfam family: Bacterial small subunit ribosomal RNA
Source: RNAcentral